Long non-coding RNA from Physeter macrocephalus (sperm whale), 686 nucleotides. RefSeq lists it as uncharacterized. Lineage: Eukaryota; Metazoa; Chordata; Mammalia; Artiodactyla; Physeteridae. The transcript has 4 exons. The record is from RefSeq and is a predicted model, not a curated record.
GCAAAGGACCUGAAAGGGCAGGUCCUGUCUGUGUUCUGUUGGGUGGAAGGUGUGUUGGUGGUUCAAGACUGAAGAGGGUCGGGGGCUUGGAGGUUGGCAGGGAUCCCUUGGGCUGCGUGUGAAUAGAGGGGUGGAGAGUGGCAAGGACCGACAUGGGCAGACCAGUGAAGAGGCUCCUGCAUCCAGGAUCCCCACUUUCCACUUCUCUCCAAGUGUAAAUUCAAAACAGGAUUCGACAUCCAUCAGCUGGGAGCCCUUAAAACACAGAAGAAAGGUACAGCGGAGGGGGCUCCUGUUGUUAUUUCUGAGGGUACAGCUGCUGCUGGCGGGGGCAUUCCUCUUCUGGAACCACCAUCGCCACGGCUGCGCCUCCUUCCUGUGCUUCCUCAUACAAGACAAGCCCGAGGAAGGGGAAGAGCUGCUUUUUCUGGGUCAGGUCUCCUCUGCAGAAAUCCCUCACCAGGACGUGUACUCCAACCUCAGUCAGAUCCACCCUGUGGACAUCGGUGAGGAGGGUCUGCCCAGCCGCCCCAUCAUCUCUCCCUACAUCAGUAAGCUUGCAGGGGCCUCCUAGACCCCCAGCCCCACCUCGGGCUUCGGGGAGCUGGCAGGAAUCCCUGAGGAGGUAGGGCACGACCAGGAAGAAGGCACUGGGCUUGGUGGCUGGGGACAACGGAUUAUGUAUU